AUUGAACGCUGGCGGCAUGCCUUACACAUGCAAGUCGAACGGUAACGGGCCUUCGGGUGCCGACGAGUGGCGAACGGGUGAGUAAUACAUCGGAACGUGCCCGAUCGUGGGGGAUAACGAGGCGAAAGCUUUGCUAAUACCGCAUACGAUCUACGGAUGAAAGCAGGGGACCGAAAGGCGUGGCGCGGACGGUGCGGCCGAUGGCUGAUUAGGUAGUUGGUGGGAUAAAAGCUUACCAAGCCGACGAUCGGUAGCUGGUCUGAGAGGAUGAUCAGCCACACUGGGACUGAGACACGGCCCAGACUCCUACGGGAGGCAGCAGUGGGGAAUUUUGGACAAUGGGCGCAAGCCUGAUCCAGCCAUGCCGCGUGCAGGAUGAAGGCCUUCGGGUUGUAAACUGCUUUUGUACGGAACGAAAACCCUUCUUUUAAUACAGGAGGGGCAUGACGGUACCGUAAGAAUAAGCACCGGCUAACUACGUG
RNAcentral lists this ribosomal RNA (482 nucleotides) under uncultured bacterium. Its description in RNAcentral is "partial 16S ribosomal RNA". It matches the Rfam family "Bacterial small subunit ribosomal RNA", at positions 30 to 507 of the family's 1533-position model. The record is from RNAcentral.